AUGAUCCCCGCGGAAGAGACCGGGCUUUGCCCGGCGCCGAAGGCGCAACCGCCCCGGAAACGCUCAGGCCAAAGGACCGCGUGGGAGCU
Molecule: non-coding RNA, 89 nt
Filed under: Microvirga vignae
Lineage: Bacteria; Pseudomonadati; Pseudomonadota; Alphaproteobacteria; Hyphomicrobiales; Methylobacteriaceae
Description: Glycine sequence
Rfam family: Glycine riboswitch aptamer
About the family: This family represents the bacterial glycine riboswitch. Glycine riboswitches usually consist of two metabolite-binding aptamers domains with similar structures in tandem. The aptamers cooperatively bind glycine to regulate the expression of downstream genes.
Source: Rfam by way of RNAcentral